GACGAACGCUGGCGGCGUGCUUAACACAUGCAAGUCGAACGGAAAGGCCCUGCUUGCAUGGUGCUCGAGUGGCGAACGGGUGAGUAACACGUGGGUGAUCUGCCCCUUACUUUGGGAUAAGCCUGGGAAACUGGGUCUAAUACUGGAUAGGACCAUGCUGUAGGUGGUGUGGUGGAAAGAUUUUUUCGGUAAGGGAUGAGCUCGCGGCCUAUCAGCUUGUUGGUGGGGUAAUGGCCUACCAAGGCGUCGACGGGUAGCCGGGCUGAGAGGGUGGACGGCCAAAUUGGGACUGAGAUACGGCCCAGACUCCUACGGGAGGCAGCAGUGGGGAAUAUUGCACAAUGGGCGUAAGCCUGAUGCAGCGACGCCGCGUGGGGGAUGACGGCCUUCGGGUUGUAAACUCCUUUCAGCCAUGACGAAGCCUCUUUUGGGGUGACGGUAGUGGUAGAAGAAGCACCGGCUAACUACGUG
RNAcentral lists this ribosomal RNA (471 nucleotides) under uncultured bacterium. RNAcentral's name for it is "partial 16S ribosomal RNA". It matches the Rfam family "Bacterial small subunit ribosomal RNA", at positions 28 to 507 of the family's 1533-position model. The record is from RNAcentral.